GGCAAGAUGGCCGAGUUGGUCCAAGGCGUCAGGUUAAGGUCCACCUUAAUAAUUCAGCGUUACAGCUUCCUGAUCAUCGUUUGAUGGCGUGGGUUCGAAUCCCACUCUUGUCA
This 113-nucleotide transfer RNA is filed under the name Aspergillus carbonarius ITEM 5010. It matches the Rfam family "tRNA". Rfam says of the family: Transfer RNA (tRNA) molecules are approximately 80 nucleotides in length. Their secondary structure includes four short double-helical elements and three loops (D, anti-codon, and T loops). Further hydrogen bonds mediate the characteristic L-shaped molecular structure. tRNAs have two regions of fundamental functional importance: the anti-codon, which is responsible for specific mRNA codon recognition, and the 3' end, to which the tRNAs corresponding amino acid is attached (by aminoacyl-tRNA synthetases). tRNAs cope with the degeneracy of the genetic code in two manners: having more than one tRNA (with a specific anti-codon) for a particular amino acid; and 'wobble' base-pairing, i.e. permitting non-standard base-pairing at the 3rd anti-codon position. The record is from Rfam by way of RNAcentral. Lineage: Eukaryota; Fungi; Ascomycota; Eurotiomycetes; Eurotiales; Aspergillaceae.